This 255-nucleotide ribosomal RNA is filed under the name Mycoplasmopsis arginini. RNAcentral describes it as "partial 23S ribosomal RNA". It matches the Rfam family "Bacterial large subunit ribosomal RNA", at positions 1434 to 1686 of the family's 2925-position model. Lineage: Bacteria; Bacillati; Mycoplasmatota; Mycoplasmoidales; Metamycoplasmataceae. The record is from RNAcentral.
UAUUCCUGUACUUUCUAUAAAUGUGAUGGAGUGACGGGGGAGGAUAGCACUACCACUUAUUGGAUUGUGGGGUAAAUAGUGACUGGGUUAUGUAGGCAAAUCCGCAUAACUUAACCGGGAGCUAUGACGCAUAGUGAAAGGGCAACUAAGUAGCGAAUUGGAUGAUUCCAUACCUCUUAAAAAAGCUUCUAACAUAUAGUUUAUGGAAACCCGUACCGAGAACGGACACACGUCCCCAAGAUGAGUAUUCUAAGG